RNAcentral lists this transfer RNA (78 nucleotides) under Cytospora mali. RNAcentral's name for it is "tRNA-Arg (TCT) (tRNA-Arg-TCT-3-1)". It matches the Rfam family "tRNA". From Rfam's summary of the family: Transfer RNA (tRNA) molecules are approximately 80 nucleotides in length. Their secondary structure includes four short double-helical elements and three loops (D, anti-codon, and T loops). Further hydrogen bonds mediate the characteristic L-shaped molecular structure. tRNAs have two regions of fundamental functional importance: the anti-codon, which is responsible for specific mRNA codon recognition, and the 3' end, to which the tRNAs corresponding amino acid is attached (by aminoacyl-tRNA synthetases). tRNAs cope with the degeneracy of the genetic code in two manners: having more than one tRNA (with a specific anti-codon) for a particular amino acid; and 'wobble' base-pairing, i.e. permitting non-standard base-pairing at the 3rd anti-codon position. Lineage: Eukaryota; Fungi; Ascomycota; Sordariomycetes; Diaporthales; Cytosporaceae. The record is from RNAcentral.
GCUCCCUUGGAGCAGUGGUUACCUCAGUAAGUUGCAUUUCUAAUGCGAAGAUCGCCAGUUCAAUCCUGGCAGGGAGCA